This 1398-nucleotide long non-coding RNA is filed under the name Oryza sativa (Asian cultivated rice). RNAcentral describes it as "long non-coding RNA (OSAT_LNC001620)". The record is from RNAcentral. Lineage: Eukaryota; Viridiplantae; Streptophyta; Magnoliopsida; Poales; Poaceae.
CUGGGCCCACCUGUCAACCACAGUGCAGAUAGGAUCAUUGUCCCCAUGCCUGGGCCAGCUGCAUGCAAAGGUGGUUUCAGGCUUUCAGCUUCAGGUAGGACCUUGUUUAUCAUGUUACUCUUGUAGACGUCAUUUCAUGCUUUAAAAAAUGACAAGAUGUGGAAAGGUUUUCCUGGAUUCUAAGAUAGUGAUACAUGAUUACAUUAUGCUCAUGUGCUGUGUUCACUAAAAACUCCACUUGUAAUUUGUUACUGUAUUUGUUACUGUCGGGGCUAAGUAGACAUGUCAGUCAUAUCUCCUUACGAUAGCAGUCAGAAGUAUUUCACACCCUGCUUUAGACUUGCUAAUUGCAGUGAGUUGAUAAAAACAAGUAGUACUCCUAAACUCGAUAGCUAAUCUGUGCAUGCCCACGGAAAAAUCAUGUAUACCACCAAUGGAUGUAAAAUGGUUGAAAAUUUACCACAAUUAAGAUUAUUAACACGAGAUAUUUGGAUCAUGUACCUUUUCCUGAUACUGGUCCUGGAUCAAAGUUUAUUGCAAGCUUAAUUUGUAGGACAUAUAUGGUUCAAUUGAACUACUUUGGGUAAGGGGGAUCAAACAGUGCAAGUUGGUGACUUUCACUAAUUGGAUUUGGUCCAACUUAUUUGGUUAGCUGAUGGUGCAAUCUUUCACAUACUUAUGAUGCUGCUGUUGUUCGUGCGCCUGUCGGCAUGUAGGCAUUUGUUUUCAUGUCUAUCCUGCGUAUUUUUUUUUGAGCUUGCGUAUCCUUAAUCUUCUCUUAGUGUAGUAGAGAUGCAUAAGUACAAAAUAAAAUAGAAAUUAAGGAAAAGAGCAAGGUAGCUAGCUAAAACAUUUAUUGAUGGUCAGCAAAAUUAGAUGGACAAUUACACAAGUGCUCAUAGGUUGGGGUUCACUCAACCUACCUUGUCGGCAUCCAAUUAUUCAACUCACACCAUGCAUGAUGCAUAUGGUACUAGCUAUAUAGGCCCGGCCUUUGCCAAUAACUAGCAACGUUUCUUUUGCAACCAUAUCAUGCACCUAUAGUAAUUGCAACCAUAAUGGUCUAACCUCUAGCUAAUGUGCAUAUAUCUCUCAUACUCAUGCAGGCAGGCCAGUGUGAUGAACUUCAAAUCAUAUAUUUCGAAGAAAACAAAAAGGCAGAUGAUGCCUAUUAUCGAUCUUGCUUGUUUUAAAUUUAAAGCGAGCAAAAAGUUGGUGAGGCUUGCUUGCUUUCCCUACCAUUUUUUCAGAUAAUUAAAUAAAUAUUCUAGACACUGCAUAUUAUGAUGCAUUUAGCCGUUGCUUUCUUACAACCUGGAGCUCUUGUUUGGAUCUAAUGUUUACCAUCGUUCCCUUGAUCGAUUUAACCUGAGAUCAUGCGUGGUUCCUACUUAGUGC